Tyto alba (common barn owl) is the source of this 1391-nucleotide long non-coding RNA. RefSeq lists it as uncharacterized. The record is from RefSeq and is a predicted model, not a curated record. Lineage: Eukaryota; Metazoa; Chordata; Aves; Strigiformes; Tytonidae. The transcript has 4 exons.
GGUGAGCAAAAUGGCAUAUUGGCACCAGAGCUGGCUCAGGCAAGCUGCCUUUGGAAUUGGAUGAACGCUUGAGAUGAUGAAGAGGAAGCUGGCAACUGAAGGGACAUCCCUGUUAGCUGAUGUGGUUUUUCUGUUGAGGAUGGAUUCAGACCUCUGGGCCUUUGAAAACUAUGAUGAGGGGACCAGGGCUGGAGAGAGGGGCUGGGAGGAGUGGACAAGGUGCUGCAUUCCUUUCCAGAGGGUUGAAGCUGCACAGCUAUGAGCAGUUUGAGAAAAGGCAAGAGAGUUAAGUGGUCCACUUGGGCUGAAUUGCUUGAGGGUCCAUGCAACUGUUUGCGCAGGUAACAGUGGCAUGAAGUGAUUAAAGGAACCUUGCAUUUUGGUGACAAGGCCGCUACUGAGGAUGGCUACUAAGUAUGGACCGUGACCUGUGGCACCAUGAAAGCUAAGUAGUGGGACAAAUCUGUGGGGAGUGGAGUCCAUGUGUGUCCAAACGUUGGCAUAAUGGGAGGGUUAGUCUGUGGGGAGUCAGCCUCGUGCAAGUGGAGGGAGUGAUACGUCUCGUGACGUGUGCCCUGGCAAAGCAGCUCUGGGAUGAGUUGGUGGAGUUGUGUGCAGUAUGUCUAGUGUGUGUUCAUACGUGUUCCUUAGUUACCUGAUGUGUUAAUGUUCAUCUUGGCCUUCAUGUCUGAGAAGCCUCAGGCAUACUCAUCCUACUACAAUCACAAUAGCCAUCCGUUGCAUUUCUGCAGCCUCCCGUUAUCGGCACGGUACCAAUUCCGACUUGUUUAGCAGCAUGACAUAGAAGCUCAGUGCUGCCGGUCUGGUUUAGCAUUGUGGGUGCAUUUGUCCAGUCUUUCUUGCAGCUCUGGCUUGGGCCUAACCAUCAGGUCUCAUCUUGAUGACUCUCUUUCUUGAGACUGCUUCCAGAGUGCUUCCUGUGUCAUCCUAGUCUUCAGUCUUUCCCAGCAAUUUGUCUCCAUCGGUCACGGUGUCUAGGGCCAUUGGGAUUCUGGGAGCAAAUCCUUCCGUGGGGCUUGCUGGAGUGUGCACUUCAAAGCACAGGAAGAGUAGAAGUGGUGCAAAGAGGGAAAUGUAUCCCUCUGCUUCCAGUUAGGAAGGGUAAUGCUGUGAAAUCAUGUGGACUGGUGAUGUUGUGUUGAGGUAUAUGGUGAUACGGUUGCAGGGAUGGUUAUAGAAUUGGGGUGAUCUGCCACUGGCAGGUGACGAAAUAGACAUGUUUUGAGUGAGGGGUGGAAUGAGCAGAUGCCAAAUGAGUGUUAGUUUUGGAAUGUGUCUAUCCUUGUAGGUGUGGAUUUCUUCUUUUUCAGGUUGUACUGAAUGUAGAGGUAGUUAAUAUUUUCUUAACAAUAAAUAAAAAAACUCCUCAA